This 76-nucleotide transfer RNA is filed under the name Nanobdellota archaeon. Its description in RNAcentral is "tRNA-Ile". It matches the Rfam family "tRNA". Rfam says of the family: Transfer RNA (tRNA) molecules are approximately 80 nucleotides in length. Their secondary structure includes four short double-helical elements and three loops (D, anti-codon, and T loops). The record is from RNAcentral. Lineage: Archaea; Nanobdellati; Nanobdellota.
GAUCCCAUAGCUCAGCCCGGUUCAGAGCACCGCUCUUAUAAGGCGGGGGUCCGGAGUUCAAAUCUCCGUGGGAUCA